Apis florea (little honeybee) is the source of this 398-nucleotide long non-coding RNA. NCBI's taxonomy places the organism in Eukaryota, Metazoa, Arthropoda, Insecta, Hymenoptera, Apidae. The record is from RefSeq and is a predicted model, not a curated record.
AGUUAAAUCUCUAUAUUGAAAUCCAUCUAUCCUACACAGAUAGUUAAAUGAAACAUGGAGAGAGUAAUAGAAAGAAAGAGACAGAAAGUAUAAAGAAAAGAGCCAGGGGAUAGUGGAGAAAGAAUCAAUGUAAACCUUUGGCCAAAUUCAAAGGCGAGUUAACAGUAUCUACACAUACUGGAUCGACCAUUCACAAAGUGAAAGCCUUGGCACAUAAAAGUCGUUUCGAUCAAUUCAACUUAGGCUAUUGCCUCAGUGCUCAGAAUGACAAUACGUGUGGAUUUUCUCGCGAACUUGCGCACACAUUUACACGGUACUCGACAUAUAGGUAUUCUUGGAGUUUUCACAAACUCAAUUAUUCCUCCACGGCUGAUAAAAUCUUCAAUUACUCUAGACAA